This 547-nucleotide small RNA is filed under the name Pan troglodytes (chimpanzee). RNAcentral describes it as "processed transcript". The record is from RNAcentral. Lineage: Eukaryota; Metazoa; Chordata; Mammalia; Primates; Hominidae.
AGACACCGGGUAAAUGCUGCUGGAGAGAUGGAAUCAGACCUGGGGCCCGGAACAGAGACCGUGAGCCAGAGACUCACAUCAGAGCCCUGUCACAGAGGACGCAAAGGCAGAGAGAGACCGAGGGACAGCGGCUGACCAAAAAUAAGGGGAGCCAAAGAUUGGCCGCUAGAGACAAAGAGACGUAGAAACGGAUAAGAGAUAAAGUCAUUGACGCAGAGUCCGAGGAGCAGUAAGCGGCUGGGAGCCUGGAGAGUAACAGGCCCAGAAGCAGAGGAACAAAAGACGAUAGUGAGCGAAACAGGCAGAGACAAAGAGAAAGACACACAAAGAGGCGGCCAGAAAGACUCCGGACAGAGAUGGUAGAGGGGCACGUCCCUCUGUUGCCCAGGUUGGUCUGGAACUCCUUGGCUCAAGCUGUCCUCCCUCCUCUGCCUCCCAAAGUGCUGAGAUUACAGGCGAGAGCCACCUUGCCCGUCCUGGGAACUGUUUUCUAAUCAGCUCAUCAAAACCUUCAUCUCCCCUGCUAACAAAGGGAGCCACUUCCUUC